This is a long non-coding RNA of Mauremys mutica (yellowpond turtle), 404 nucleotides long. RefSeq lists it as uncharacterized. The transcript is spliced from 3 exons. The record is from RefSeq and is a predicted model, not a curated record. Lineage: Eukaryota; Metazoa; Chordata; Testudines; Geoemydidae.
CGCUGAGGAGAACCACAGUUGCCCUGGGGACCUACCUGAGCUUCCAGAGAGCCCUGCCACUCCCAACGCUGAGGAGCUGCUACUGCUACCUUUGGCGGUGUAUACUGGGGAGACUGAGGAUGACCCCUGGAUGCAGGCCCCUUGAUGAGUGCUACUGGAGGCCAAAUGAGUGAUGACUCUUGUUGUUGCAAGGUUAGCUGCUACUGACAGAAAAUGGAUUGCAAGAGGAAUUAUGCUUUCCAAGGUCACCCUUAAGGAAAAUGCUUCCGGGAGAAUUAUUUUUGGAAUCCUAUUUUAAAAGUCAGGUUCCUAAACUAGGCCUCUCAGUUCAUCACUUUGGCACUCAGGAGUUUGGGUACCCAACAGCUGAUUUAAAUGCCCAAAUGCAGAAAAGCUUGUCCUGA